Molecule: ribosomal RNA, 676 nt
Filed under: uncultured bacterium
Lineage: Bacteria
Description: bacterial SSU rRNA
Rfam family: Bacterial small subunit ribosomal RNA
Source: RNAcentral
AGAGUUUGAUCCUGGCUCAGGACGAACGCUGGCGGUGUGCUUCACACAUGCAAGUCGAGCGAAUGAAGUAGGUAGCUUGCUACUUAUGGAUUUAGCGGCGGACGGGUGAGUAAUAUAUAGGAAUCUGCCUUAGAGCGGGGAACAACAGACCGAAAGGUUUGCUAAUGCCCCAUAGGUAUGCAGUCUUCGGAUUGUAUAUUAAAGGAGUAAUCCACUCUAAGAUGAGCCUGUAUCCGAUUAGCUAGUUGGCGGGGUAAAGGCCCACCAAGGCUACGAUCGGUAGUCGGCCUGAGAGGAUGAUCAGCCACAAUGGGACUGAGACACGGCCCAUACUCCUACGGGAGGCAGCAGUGGGGAAUUUUACACAAUGGGGGAAACCCUGAUGUAGCGACACCGCGUGAACGAAGAAGCCUUUUGGGGUGUAAAGUUCUGUCGGCUGGAACGAAAAAAAUGACGGUACCAGCAAAGGAAGCAUCGGCUAACUACGUGCCAGCAGCCGCGGUAAGACGUAGGAUGCAAGCGUUGUCCGGAUUUAUUGGGCGUAAAGAGUUCGUAGGCGGUUAUUUAAGUCUGAUGUUAAAUACUGUGGCCCAACCACAGAACUGCAUUGGAUACUGGAUGACUUGAGUGCGGUAGAGGCAAGUGGAAUUCCCAGUGUAGCGGUGAAAUGCGUAGA